This 253-nucleotide ribosomal RNA is filed under the name uncultured bacterium. Its description in RNAcentral is "partial 16S ribosomal RNA". It matches the Rfam family "Bacterial small subunit ribosomal RNA", at positions 524 to 776 of the family's 1533-position model. The record is from RNAcentral.
UACGUAGGGGGCUAGCGUUGUCCGGAUUUAUUGGGCGUAAAGAGCGUGUAGGCGGCCUUUUAAGUCCUGCGUGAAAUCCUGCGGCUCAACCGCAGACGGUCGUGGGAAACUGGAAGGCUAGAGUGCGGGAGAGGAGAGUGGAAUUCCCGGUGUAGCGGUGAAAUGCGCAGAUAUCAGGAGGAACACCGGUGGCGAAGGCAGAUCUCUGGGCCGUAACUGACGCUGAGGAGCGAAAGCAUGGGGAGCGAACAGG